GACGAACGCUGGCGGCGUGCUUAACACAUGCAAGUCGAACGGAAAGGCCCUGCUUUUGUGGGGUGCUCGAGUGGCGAACGGGUGAGUAACACGUGAGUAACCUGCCCUUGACUUUGGGAUAACUUAAGGAAACUGGGGCUAAUACCGGAUAGGAGCUCCUGCUGCAUGGUGGGGGUUGGAAAGUUUCGGCGGUUGGGGAUGGACUCGCGGCGUAUCAGCUUGUUGGCUGGGUAGUGGCUUACCAUGGCUUUGACGGGUAGCCGGCCUGGGCGGGUGACCGGCCACAUUGGGACUGGGAUACGGCCCAGACUCGUACGGGGGGCAGCGGUGGAGAAUAGUACACAGGAGGCUGAGGCCUGAUGCGGCAACGCCGCGUGCGGGAUGACGGCCUUCGGUUUGUAUACCGCUUUCGCCUUUGACGGAGCGUGAGUGACGGUAAUGGGUAAAGAAGCACCGGCUAACUACGUG
Molecule: ribosomal RNA, 468 nt
Filed under: uncultured bacterium
Lineage: Bacteria
Description: partial 16S ribosomal RNA
Rfam family: Bacterial small subunit ribosomal RNA
Source: RNAcentral